UGUUAGUGGCGGUCAUCAUCGGUGCGGUUGCAGGAACCUUGAUCCACAAGAGCAAGUCUGAGUCCAACUCUGUCCCGGCCAGUCCCGUAUCGCCGGCCACCUCCAUCAAGGCUGUGUGCAGCGUCACUCAGUACCCAGAUUCAUGCGUCUCCAGCAUCUCUUCCCUCGACACCUCCAACACCACCGACCCAGAGGAGCUCUUCAGACUCACUCUCCGGGUCGCCAUUGCUGAGCUCUCC
Molecule: long non-coding RNA, 239 nt
Filed under: Vitis vinifera (wine grape)
Lineage: Eukaryota; Viridiplantae; Streptophyta; Magnoliopsida; Vitales; Vitaceae
Description: long non-coding RNA (VVIN_LNC002704)
Source: RNAcentral